GUAGUGACGAAAAUAACGAUGCAGAACUCAUUCCGAGGCUCUGCAAUCGGAAUGAGAACACUCUAAAUCAUUUAACGAGUAUCCAUUGGAGGACAAGUCUGGUGCCAGCACCCGCGGUAAUUCCAGCUCCAAUAGCGUAUAUUAAAGUUGUUGCGGUUAAAAAGCUCGUAGUUGGAUCUGUGUUUCACGCUGACGGUUCACCGUUUGAUCGGUGUUUAACUGUCAUGUCGUGACACGUCCUGCCGGUUGGCAUGUCCGUGGGCUCCGGUCUGCGGCUGCCAGUUCCAAUCCUGUCGCGGUGCUCUUCACCGAGUGCUGAGGCAGGCCGGCACGUUUACCUUGAACAAAUUUGAGUGCUUCAAGCAGGCUAUAAUUGCCUGAAAACUGUGUGCAUGGAAUAAUAAAAUAUGACUUUGGUCGUAUUUUGUUGGUUUUAACGGUCCGAAGUAAUGAUUAAUAGGAACCGACGGGGGCAUUAGUAUUGCGACGUUAGAGGUGAAAUUCUUGGAUCGUCGCAAGACUAACCUAAGCGAAAGCAUUUGCCAAGAAUGCUUCCAUUAAUCAAGAACGAAAGUUAGAGGUUCGAAGGCGAUCAGAUACCGCCCUAGUUCUAACCAUAAACGAUGCCAGCCAGCGAUCUGUCGCAGUUCCUCCGAUGACUCGACAGGCAGCUUCCGGGAAACUAAAGCAUUUGGGUUCCGGGGGAAGUAUGGUUGCAAAGCUGAAACUUAAAGGAAUUGACGGAAAGGCACCACCAGGAGUGGAGCCUGCGGCUUAAUUUGACUCAACACGGGAAACCUCACCAGGCCAGAACACUAGAUGGAUUGACAGAUUGAGAGCUCUUUCUUGAUUUAGUGGGUGGUGGUGCAUGGCCG
This 875-nucleotide ribosomal RNA is filed under the name Xanthocaecilius sommermanae. RNAcentral's name for it is "SSU rRNA". It matches the Rfam family "Eukaryotic small subunit ribosomal RNA", at positions 464 to 1290 of the family's 1831-position model. Lineage: Eukaryota; Metazoa; Arthropoda; Insecta; Psocodea; Caeciliusidae. The record is from RNAcentral.